This 7791-nucleotide long non-coding RNA is filed under the name Lactuca sativa (garden lettuce). RNAcentral describes it as "long non-coding RNA (LSAT_LNC009473)". Lineage: Eukaryota; Viridiplantae; Streptophyta; Magnoliopsida; Asterales; Asteraceae. The record is from RNAcentral.
GUACAAUUCGGUUUGCAAUCGUAGCUCUCAAAGACGCUGUCAACUCUGAUCUAAUCAAUCUUGUCCUUUAGAUAAGGGAACGUACAGUCCUCUGUUAGAUAUCAUGCUGACAAUCCUAUGGAAUGGUUAGUCAAGCAUUUAGGUUUCUCGAUCUCUGAUUUAUUUGACAUAGAACUUAAUCAAACACAUCAAUUUAGUUCUGACCGGGCCCGGCACAUAAGUCAAAUCAAAUCAUCGAGCGGCCGAGAUAUCGCUUUUACCUUCUUAGAUAAAAGUUACAUAUAAACUUCGACUUAUAUGCAUUUACUUAUUCAUUAACCAACUAUACACAACAAUACGUUUUAUAACACCAAGUUACUGAUGCAUUUUCAUAUUAUCAAUGUACAAUCAAUUAACAAAUAAUAAAUCAUAUAUCUAGGUUUUAAGACUAUAUGAUAUUAUCGUCUUGCGACCACCUUUUAUAUCGUAUUCCAUAAGGUGAUUCCAGCAAGCGCGGGUUUAUUCCAAUGCUCAAAACUAGUUCAUAAGCACUCAUGAACGUUGCAGCAAUCCUUUGCUAUGUCUAACACCAUUUAGACAUUCUACACACCAAUUCAUGACAAUCUUCAUUCAUAUCUACUCCCAACAUAUGAACGAUUGUGGACCAUUUGAACAAUUCGAUUAUUCCUAAUAAACUCAAUUAUUCUGGAAGUCAAAACAUGCAAAGUGAAACAAUAGCUAAACAAUUAACAUAAGAUAGUAACAUUACUCAUAAAUAAAACUCCUUUAUUUAAUCAUCAAAUGUUAAUUACAUUUAUCUAUUACACGUUUCUAAUACUAUCUAAUCUAUGCUAAUAUCAUCCUUCAGCCCAAUACUCCUAGCAUGCUGCAAGUGCUUAACCCUACUCAGUCCCUUCGUAAGCGGAUCUGCUGGGUUAUCUUCUGAUGAUAUCCUCUUCACUACGAGUUGUCCUUCUUCUACACGAUGUCUAAUGAAGUGAUACUUUCUGUCGAUAUGUCUUGAUCUACCAUGAUCCCUCGGUUCCUUGGUUAAGGCAACCGCGCCUUCGUUAUCACAGAAAAUCUCCAUUGGCUCCUUUAUGGCAGGUACAACUCCAAGAUCACCGAUGAAGUUCUUUAGCCAUAUUGCCUCCUUCGACGCUUCGCUCGCUGCAAUGUACUCUGAUUCGCACGUUGAAUCAGCUACGGUUUCCUGCUUGGAACUCUUCCAUGUCACUGCUCCUCCAUUUAGGGUAAAGACCCAGCCCGACUGCGAACGGUAGUUGUCCCUGUCGGUCUGAAAACUGGCGUCACUAUACCCUCGCACCUUCAAGUCAUCACUCCCUCCGAGGACUAAGAACCAUUCCUUCGUCCUCCGAAGGUACUUAAGGAUAUUCUUCACCGCAAUCCAAUGUGCUUUGCCAGGAUUCCCUUGAUAUCUGCUAACCAUGCUCAAAGCGAAGGCUACAUCAGGGCGAGUACAAGUCAUAGCGUACAUGAUUGAGCCAACUGCGGAAGCGUAUGGUACUCGGCUCAUUUCUGCUAUCUCAGCUUCGGUACUCGGACUUUGAGUCUUACUCAAUUUGGCAUUACUUUGUAUCGGUAGUUCUCCCUUCUUUGAGUUUUCCAUACUAAAACGUUUUAGUACCUUCUCUAAGUAAGUAUUCUGACUAAGUCCAAUUAGUCUCUUACUUCUUUCUCUUACUAUCCUUAUUCCCAAAAUGUAAGAAGCCUCUCCGAGGUCCUUCAUAGCGAAGCACUUCCCGAGCCAGGACUUAACCUCCUGCAGAGUCGGGAUGUCGUUUCCUAUGAGUAAUAUGUCAUCGACAUAUAGAACGAGGAAGCUUACUAUACUCCCACUGGCUUUGACAUAUACACAAGAUUCGUCUUCGCUUCGUACAAAUCCAAACUCUUUGACUUUCUCAUCGAAGCAAAGAUUCCAUCUGCGAGACGCUUGCUUAAGUCCAUAAAUGGACUUCUCAAGCUUACACACUCUAUUCGGAUGCUUCGGAUCCACAAACCCCUCUGGCUGAGCCAUGUAAACAUCCUCAGCCAACUUUCCGUUAAGGAAAGCGGUCUUGACAUCCAUUUGCCAAAUCUCAUAAUCAUGAAAUGCGGCAAUUGCUAGCAUCACUCUAAUAGAUUUAAUCUUCGCAACUGGUGAGAAGGUCUCAUCAUAGUCAACUCCGGGAGUUUGAGUAAAGCCCUUCGCAACCAAUCGCGCUUUAUAUGUGUGUACGUUUCCAUCCACGUCGGUCUUCUUCUUGAAGAUCCAUUUGCACCCAACGGUCUUACGUCCGGGCACAUAAUCAACCAAAUUCCAAACUUGGUUAUCAUACAUGGAUUGGAUCUCGCUAUCCAUUGCCUCUUUCCAUUUUGCAGACUCCGGGCCUGCCAUGGCUUCCUUAUAGCUAUUAGGUUCAUCAAGAUUUACUAGUGUACCAUCACUAAUAUACGUGUCCCCUUCGGUAGUAAUAUGAAAGCCAUAAAACUGGGGAUGAACUCUAACUCUAUCGGAACGUCUAAGAGGUAAGGAUUCGUCAAUCGGUUCAACCGGAGUUUCCUCCUCGGGUUGAGUGCCAGCGGUAGAGGUUCCUUCAUCUAUCGACUCUUGAAUCUCUUCAAGUUCGAUUUGCCUCCCACUGUCUCCUUGGCUUAUGAGUUCUCGCUCUCGGAAAACUCCUCUCCUCGCAACGAAGACAACAUUGUCCUUCGGUCUAUAGAAGAGAUAUCCAAAGGAUGUCUGCGGGUAGCCGAUGAAAAUACAUCGCUCACUUCGAGGUUCAAGCUUGUCGUGAGUAUCUCGUCUUACGAAAGCCUCGCAACCCCAAACCUUGAUAUGUGCCAACGAGGGAGCUUUCCCUGUCCACAUCUCGUGAGGUGUUUUGGCAACCUUCUUAGUAGGGACUCGGUUAAGGAUAUGGGCGGCAGUCUCUAAGGCAUACCCCCAAAAAGAGAUUGGUAGUGAAGCACGACUCAUCAUAGAGCGAACCAUAUCCAAUAAGGUUCGAUUACGCCUUUCUGCCACACCAUUCAACUGCGGUGUCCUAGGAGGCGUCAAUUGUGAAACUAUUCCACACUCCUUGAGAUAAUCGUGGAAUUCAAGACUUAGGUACUCUCCUCCUCGAUCGGAUCGAAGCAUCUUGAUUUUCCUGCCCAAUUGAUUCUCCACUUCAUUCUUGAACUCUUUGAACUUUUCAAAGGUGUCUGACUUUUGCUUGAUUAAGUAGAUAUACCCAUAUCUACUAUAGUCAUCGGUAAAAGUCACAUAGAAGCGGUUCCCAUCCUUCGUGGUUGAUCUAAACGGUCCACAUACAUCGGUAUGUAUUAGGUCCAAUAGACCCUCGCCCCUUUCACAUGUACUCGUGAAGGGUGACUUAGUCAUCUUUCCAAGCAAACAAGACUCGCAUGUGUCAUCUUCCCUAAGGUCGAAUGACUCCAACACUCCAUCCUUUUGGAGUUGGGCUAUGCGUUUCUUGUUGACAUGUCCAAGACGACAAUGCCACAAGGAUGCUUUAUCCAUACUAGUGGAAGAAUCAAUAUUCAAAACAUCAUUUCCUAAGUUAUCAACAAUCAUAACGGUUUCAUAUAUUCCAUUACAUGGUAUAGCUUCAAAGUAAAAGACACCAUUUAGAUAAGCCAAAAUAGAACCAUUCUCAUUAUUAAAAGAAAAUCUAAAUCCUUGUCUAUAUAAACCAUGAAAUGAAAUGAUGUUUCUUGCCAUUUCUGGCGAAUAGCAACAAUUGUUCAAAUCUAAAACUAAACUAUUCCUAAGCACUAAGGAAUACACUCCAAUCUUGGUCACAGGCGACGAUCUUCUGUUCCCCAUGAUUAGAUUGAUCCUUCCUUGCUCCACAUCCCUACUUCUUCUUAGUCCCUGCACAUUAGAACAAAUGUGAUAACCACAACCGGUAUCAAGAACCCAAGAAAUAGCAUGAUUAGAAUCGUUAGAUUUGAUUGUAUAUAUACCUGCGAAAGAUGGCUUGAUCUUUCCUUCUUUGAUUGCUUGCAGGUAAUCCGGGCAGCUUCUCUUCCAAUGUCCUAUCUUGUGGCAGUGGUGGCACUCUGCCUCCUUCGGGUUAGAGCAGGGCUUAGCGGGAUCAACUUUGGUCCCACUAGAAGAGGCACCAUCUCGGGCUUUCACCUUGCGAUAGUUCUUCGAUGAAGCUUUCCUCUUCUUUCCCUUCCCUUGUCCAAUAGCCAAGACAGGAGCAGCGGGCGGAUUGGGAGUAGGUGCAACAGACUUGUCUUUGAAGUUGCUCUCAGCAACCCUCAAGAGACCUUGGAGCUUGCUUAGGGUGACCUCUUCUUUGUUCAUGUGGUAGGUCAUCCUAAAUUGAUUGUACAUCGGAGGCAAAGAGUGAAGCACCAUGUCGAUCGCCAAAUCCUCACCGAAGUCAACAUUUAACUUGCGAAGGCGGUCGACAUACCUUUGCAUCUUUUGCAAGUGCACGGUAAGAGAUUCUCCAUGACCCAUCUUCGCGGAAAUCAUGUUAGUGAAAAUCUCGUACCUCUCUUGUCUCGCGUUUUGGUGGUACCUCUCCAAUAAGUCUUGGUGCAUCUCGUACGGGUACAUGUCCUCGUAGGACUUUUGGAAUUCGGAGUUCAUGGUGGCGAUCAUGAUGCAAUGUACCUUCGUUGCAUCUCGCUCAUGAGUUUCAAAGGCGGUGAUUUCGGCGGGAGUAGCAAUUUCGGGGUUGAUUUUCUCGAGCUUCUCAUCGAGGACAUACUCCUUAUCCUCAUAGCGAGCAAUGGUGCGAAUGUAUCUUAUCCAUUCGCUAAAGUUCGUUCCAUCGAAGGUGACCUUUUGGCAAAGGCUCAUCAACGUGAAAGAACUAGCAGCAGCGUUGUUUGCGUUCGACAUCUACAAUUAGAAAAGGACAAAGAUAGAUUAGAAUAAGAAUCCCUAAUUAUCACCCAAUAAGAAAAUUAGGGCUAGGAUCCAACAAUAACAUUUACAUACUAGAAAAGGGAUGCCGUAAUCUAACAUGCAAAUAAAUUGAAGGUAAGUGAAUGACGAUUCACUAAUUCUCCAUCACGAAACUUAAACUAUUAGUCCUAAGUGUUUUUGAGAAUUCCUAGGUUCGGAUGAGAUUCAUUGAAACUAUUCAAUGGCAUGUUUAAAUCUCGAUAUGCCCCUCUUGUUUGUGACUGGGAUGCCGAGGAUCACAAAGCGGGUGUGAAUUACCAUGCAAAUUCACAUGGUGCCUUCAUUGUAACGAUCACCUAUUCGAUGUGCCGGUAAACCACACACGCUCCAUCGAACUAUGAUAAACAAUGAAUCACCCUUUGCCACCUUCGCUUAGAACCAAUUAGUGUGCCGGUAAACCACACACGCUCCACUAACAUCUUAGCAAGGUGCAAAGUGUAAUUUCAUGGGAUUGCAUCAAUUCACUUUUCCUAAAGUAACUAGGAUUGGGAAAUUUUUGAAAUAUGUGUAGUUAUUUGUAUUUCUUAUUAUACUUUUAAUGAGAGGAUGAGGUUGCCCUAUCCUACCCGUUCGGCUAACGACCCUCCACCAAUCAAGCAAGCGGUGGGUGUGAGUGUACACCCAUUAAGCGCCAUUUUAUAGGCCGCAACCUUAUACCCACCUUAUAGAUCGGCUUCGUGAAUGAGGCCUACUAACGGUAAGACUAGCAUUUAGUUAUACAUAUAUAUAUUAUUCUAGUAAUAUCAUAUUAGUAUAGGGUUGUAUUUUAAAACUUUUAAAAUCUAGGGUUUGAAAUUUAAGUUGUCUAAAUUAAAACUUUUAAUCACAAAAGUAAAUUUCAAAACAUGAGGGUAGGUUUUAAACAUUUAAAACAUGGAGGAUCAAAUAACAAAUAAUUCCAAUUAACAAUUAAUAUCCUAAUUAUCUAUAUUUGAUUUAUUCAAGAUUUCUUUUUAAGAUAAUUACCAAAAUAAUUAAAAUAAUUAAUUAAUUAUCAUAUAAGGAAAUUAAAUAUUUAAUUAGUUGAUAAUUACCUUUAACUAGAUCAAGAUAAUAGUUAUAUUUAUCAGAAAAACGAAUUAAUGUUGAUCUAAUUAGUUUAUGGUAAGUUAAGAUAAGAUAAACACAAAGAAAUCCCGAAUCUGGCCAUUCCUGACGCCUGGACUCGCCGAGUGCACAAAUGGACUCGCCGAGUCAGGCCUACUCGCCGAGUCCACUUUGAGACUCGCCGAGUCCAUGACUCAGAAACCAAAAAAUCGAAUUUUGCAGGUUUGUUUCAGUUAAUCAAGCAACAAUUUAAAGAAAACCAAGCUAGGCUCUGAUACCACUGAUGGGUUUUAGCCAUAAGAACUUUCCUAUGUGCGCAUGCAAAACCCUAAUGCUUGGAUCUAGGCUUUCUAAUAAACAUGCAUUGAAUCCAAGUCUUCUAAUGACUAAUUAGGUUAAAUAACAACAUUGAAACAGAUCUAGAAUCAUACCUUUGAGUUCCUUGUUGAUCUUGAGGUCUUGGAGCUUCUAGAGUCACAAGUGUCACUCCUCUAAUGGCUUACAAACACCAAUAGCAAUAAGAAUGAUUUAGGAGAGAGGAGAGGGGAGGAAUUCGACCAGAGUUCUCUUGCUUUUUCAGAAGUGUCGAAUUCCCUAUGCCAUGGGGUCUAUUUAUACUUGUAGACUCCUUAAGGAUUACAGAUAAGUCCCUAUCAGAUAAUCUUCUCUUAAGGCUAUCCAAAUCCAUUCCUAGAUAACUCUAAUGGACGAUUUUAGCUAUCCUAAUCCUCUUAGAAUUCGUCCAUAGCAUAUCCAAAUGGAUUUACAGUCUAAAGCUUAACUAUCAAACAAUUGACAGUUUAUACCCCUUUAUUUAAUUAAUCUCUUUAAGUCACCAAAUUAAUUCUAAUUAAUUCUAUGACUUAUAUUAAUCAAAUAACAAAUAUAUUAUUCAUUAUAUUAUUCUCAUAAUAUAUUAAUAAUAUUUACUCUCUCUUAAUAAAUCAUCCUAUCAAGUUGCUAUGGUGAAGGCAACCCAAAAGGACCAUGCACAACCGGAUCAAAUACUUGCCUAAUAUAGUUACAGCCUUAGACACUAUUCCAACAGUCUCCCACUUGGAUAAGUCUAGUAACUAUACAAGUACAAUUCGGUUUGCAAUCGUAGCUCUCAAAGACGCUGUCAACUCUGAUCUAAUCAAUCUUGUCCUUUAGAUAAGGGAACGUACAGUCCUCUGUUAGAUAUCAUGCUGACAAUCCUAUGGAAUGGUUAGUCAAGCAUUUAGGUUUCUCGAUCUCUGAUUUAUUUGACAUAGAACUUAAUCGAACACAUCAAUUCAGUUCUGACCGGGCCCGGCACAUAAGUCAAAUCAAAUCAUCGAGCGGCCGAGAUAUCGCUUUUACCUUCUUAGAUAAAAGUUACAGAUAAACUUCGACUUAUAUGCAUUUACUUAUUCAUUUACCAACUAUACACAACAAUACGUUUUAUAACACCAAGUUACUGAUGCGUUUUCGUAUUAUCAAUGUACAAUCAAUUAACAAAUAAUAAACCAUAUAUCUAGGUUUUAAGACUAUAUGAUAUUAUCGUCUUGCGAUCACCUUUUAUAUCGUAUUCCAUAAGGUGAUUCCAGCAAGCGCGGGUUUAUUCCAAUGCUCAAAACUAGUUCAUAAGCACUCAUGAACGUUGCAGCAAUCCUUUGCUAUGUCUAACACCAUUUAGACAUUCUACACACCAAUUCAUGACAAUCUUCAUUCAUAUCUACUCCCAACAUAUGAACGAUUGUGGACCAUUUGAACAAUUCGAUUAUUCCUAAUAAACUCAAUUAUUCUGGAAGUCAAAACAUGCAAAGUGAAACAAUAGCUAAACAAUUAACAUAAGAUAGUAACAUUACUCAUAA